CUUGGUGUUACUGCGAAGGGGGGACGGAGAAGGCUAUGUUGGCCGGGCGACGGUUGUCCCGGUUUAAGCGUGUAGGCUGGUUUUCCAGGCAAAUCCGGAAAAUCAAGGCUGAGGCGUGAUGACGAGGCACUGCGGUGCUGAAGCAACAAAUGCCCUGCUUCCAGGAAAAGCCUCUAAGCAUCAGGUAACAUCAAAUCGUACCCCAA
RNAcentral lists this ribosomal RNA (206 nucleotides) under Escherichia coli. RNAcentral's name for it is "partial 23S ribosomal RNA". It matches the Rfam family "Bacterial large subunit ribosomal RNA", at positions 1443 to 1652 of the family's 2925-position model. Lineage: Bacteria; Pseudomonadati; Pseudomonadota; Gammaproteobacteria; Enterobacterales; Enterobacteriaceae. The record is from RNAcentral.